Molecule: ribosomal RNA, 222 nt
Filed under: uncultured bacterium
Lineage: Bacteria
Description: partial 16S ribosomal RNA
Rfam family: Bacterial small subunit ribosomal RNA
Source: RNAcentral
GAUCAUGGCUCAGGACGAACGCUGGCGGCGCGCCUAACACAUGCAAGUCGAACGGAGCUACUUUGAUAGAUCUCUUCGGAGUGACAUUGAUUUAGCUUAGUGGCGAACGGGUGAGUAACACGUGAGGAACCUGCCUUUCAGAGGGGACAACAGUUGGAAACGACUGCUAAUACCGCAUAAGACCACGAUACGGCAUCGUAUUGAGGUCAAAGGAGCAAUCCG